AAAAAAACGGUAGGCAUUUAAAAAUGACCAUUUGAGCAAUAAAACCAGUAAACUUAGAGAAGAAAGUAUUUCAAGUCAAUACCAUCUAUCUCCCCCGUUUUAUAGUUUCUUAACUAUAACAAAUUGUGAUCCCAAUAUGAAUGAAGGAAAAGAAAAUACAAAACUAAAACAAAUAAAAGGUAAUUUCAAACAUAAAGAACUCAAGUAGUGGGUAUGAAUCCACUCAAUGGAACAUUUGCCCUCAUCAAACAAGGCGUAAACAUGUAGCAAACAUUUCCCAUUGGCAUACAAGCAAAAAUAAAAAAUAUGUCUUAACAUCUUAAACCCCAAAAGGUGUCCCUCAAAAGAUAAAAUAAAUAAAAGAAAGAAAAAUGGUUGAAAUCAACAAUGGUCUGCCAUUAACACUCCUCAUAGGUUCAUAUCUCUCCCCAGUGAAGCUCCUUUGUGUCCAUGGGGGAGAGGCUGGGGGGUUGGUUAUAGAAUACAGUGAUGAUAAAAACAAAGGCAGUGAGAUAAGAUAGCAAAAGGUUUGAAAACUUUUGACCCAAGAAAACAAAGACAA
Long non-coding RNA from Alosa sapidissima (American shad), 562 nucleotides. RefSeq lists it as uncharacterized. The record is from RefSeq and is a predicted model, not a curated record. The transcript is spliced from 3 exons. NCBI's taxonomy places the organism in Eukaryota, Metazoa, Chordata, Actinopteri, Clupeiformes, Clupeidae.